This 425-nucleotide ribosomal RNA is filed under the name uncultured bacterium. RNAcentral's name for it is "bacterial SSU rRNA". It matches the Rfam family "Bacterial small subunit ribosomal RNA", at positions 355 to 796 of the family's 1533-position model. The record is from RNAcentral.
CGAGGAAUAUUGCGCAAUGGAGGAAACUCUGACGCAGUAACGCCGCGUGGGGGAAGAAGACCUUCGGGUUGUAAACCUCUUUUGUUUAGGACGAGUGAGGACGGUACUAGAAGAAUAAGUCUCGGCUAACUACGUGCCAGCAGCCGCGGUAAGACGUAGGAGGCGAGCGUUAUCCGGAUUCACUGGGCGUAAAGCGCAUGUAGGCGGAUGUUUAAGUCAUGUGUUAAAGCCCCUGGCUCAACUGGGGGAGGUCAUGUGAGACUAAACGUCUUGAGGACCGUAGAGGCACGUGGAACUCCCGGUGUAGCGGUGGAAUGCGUAGAGAUCGGGAAGAACACCAGUGGCGAAGGCGACGUGCUGGGCGGUAACUGACGCUGAGAUGCGAAAGUGUGGGGAGCAAACGGGAUUAGAUACCCCUGUAGUCC